AACGUAGGACGCGAGCGUUAUCCGGAGUUACUGGGCGUAAAGCGCGGGCAGGCGGUCUGACAAGUCUGAUGUGAAAUCUCCGGGCUUAACCGGGAGAGGCCAUUGGAAACUGACAGGCUGGAGGGCAGUAGAGGUAGGCGGAAUUCCGGGUGGAGUGGUGAAAUGCGUAGAGAUCCGGAGGAACACCAGAGGCGAAGGCGGCCUACUGGGCUGCACCUGGCGCUGAGCCGCGAAAGCCAGGGGAGCGAACGGG
Molecule: ribosomal RNA, 253 nt
Filed under: uncultured bacterium
Lineage: Bacteria
Description: partial 16S ribosomal RNA
Rfam family: Bacterial small subunit ribosomal RNA
Source: RNAcentral